ACAACGGUAGCACAGUGGUUAGUGCAGUCUGCCGGAAACAGAAAAACGUGGGUUCAAUUCCCGUCCGAUGUC
Nippostrongylus brasiliensis is the source of this 72-nucleotide non-coding RNA. Lineage: Eukaryota; Metazoa; Nematoda; Chromadorea; Rhabditida; Heligmosomidae. The record is from Rfam.